UUGAACAUUAAUUAAUGGGGACACUUCUUAUUUCAUUUGACUUUCAUGGGUUUUGUCCAUCAACACUACACUGUGGAAUGGAUGAUUCUUUCCUACUGCAGCAUCUUACUGUUAAUACCUAUGUAUGGCUUCAUGCUAGCCAAAAGGUUAGAUGUUACAAUUAUUUAUGCAAAUCUCAAUUUGCUUUUGCGCUGUAGACUGUACAAAUAAAGCUGCAGCAAUUGAUUAUACAUCACUGACAGCAGAAGAAACAUACAGUUUCAUCAAUGAAAAAACUGAGUCAUGUAACAGCUCAAUAGUUAUGUGCAGCCUCAUGAGAAUGACAAUCAAAACCAGAUCAUAAUGAUAUGAAUAUUUAUUGGGUACCUCAUCCUGCUUGGUGAUUUUGAUAGUCAGUAGAAAAUAUGUUUAAAGGGAAACAUUUCAGUUUUUAUUGAAUACUCUUUUAUAAAAUACAGUGUUCUAUAUUGGAGUUUUUAAGUAUUUUACAUUGGUUCUCUUGUUUUUAAGUUUUAUUAUUCUAUAGUUAUUUGAUUUAAUCUUAAAAAGGAUAAAUAUUGUAUUUAAUAUCUAUAUUCACAAACAUUUCUAUGUCUGACACAGGUCCACUGUUGUUUUAUAUGGAUAUUAUUUUUGUAAAUCGGGCUGAGGAAUAGUUAGAAAUGACAUAAAUGUAUAAAAAUAAUGUCUUAAACAUUUAAAAUAAAUGUGUUCAUCAAAAUAAUGGUCUAAGUCUAAAUUACCAAAAAAAAAAAAAAACAAAGAAAGAAAGAAAUAGAAUGCAUAAAUUCCAAACUGUUAGAGAGGAAGAAAAAAGAGAAUAAAGAGAACUCUCUCAGUUCAACCAAAGUCUGGAAAGGAAGGAGAAAAAAAAAUCAAGGAAAAAAUAGGCCAAAUAUUUAAUGAGCAUCUGCUAUAGAUCAGAAACUUUUCUCUGAAAAUGUUAUUCAAAUAAAGUUGUAAGAACAAUAAGGGUAAAUAGAUUAAACUCUUCUGUUAAAUGUCAAAGACUUUCAGGUUUUAAAAAACACUGUUUUUUUUUUUUUUUAAAGACUCUCUCUCAUCUCUCUACUAUCUAUAUAUGCAUAUAUGACAUACCUGAAUCAAAACAUACAGAAAGACUUAUACAAAGAAAUGGAACAGAUAUAUAAUAUGAAUGUGUUUUACCUAAUGACAUAGCCUUAAAAUAUUUAAAGCCAAAGAUUUAGAAUUACAGGUAAAGCCAACAAAUGCACAUAAAUUUUUACUCAGCCAUUAAAAGGAACAAAAUAAUGGCAUUUUUAGCAACAUGGCUGGAUCUAGAAAUUAUCAUGCUAAGUGAAGUCAGUCAGACUAUUUGACACCAACAUCAAAUGCUAUCACUUACAUGUGGAAUCUGAAAAAAGGACGCAAUGAAUUUCUUUGCAGAACAGAUACUGACUCACAGACUUUGAAAAACAUAGUUUCCAAAGGAGAGAUGUGGGGGGGGGUGAGUUGCGCUGGGGGUUUGGGAUGGAAAUGCUAUAAAAUUGGGUUGGGAUGAUCAUUGUACAACUAUGUAAUGUAAUAAAUGUAAUAAAUUCAUUGAGUAAUAUAAAAAAGAAAAAAAUCAAAGUUUACCUUUAUAAUUAAUAGCAUAAGGCACAUUCUUUUGUUUCAAGUUGGCAUUAACUAGAUUGUUAGGCCAUCUGAUCUGUCUGUUAAAUCAUAAAGCAAAAUCUUAACAGAAUCUUCUCCUGAUUCUGAAAUCAAAAUCCUCUGGCAUUCUGGCUAAUUAGUCUUAACACAUCUGCUUUCUGCUUCCAUUUGUUCCUUGCUUUUCUAGUGAACAGUUAUGAAAGACUAUUAAAUCUCAGCACCUAAGGAAAACAGGACACAGAUGAGAAUGUAUCUAUUUACCAAAGCAUUCUCUACAAGUGAAGGAAAUCAUACUACUCUCUAAUUCUGGAGGAGAUAGAUGUCCUUUGUAUCUUUUAACGCACUCAGAUUGCCUAAAUGAAUGAGAAAAUAACAUUAAAAGUUUUGAAUUCUACAACUAUGCAUUCUAGUUGCCAAGAAGAAAAGUACAAGACGUGGGCAUUCUACAUUUAUUUUGGUAAGUAAUCUUAAUGAGGAAAUCUUGUUAAUAAUAAAUAAAAUGAGAUGCAAUAUGGAAAAGUUAUGAUAUUCAAAAGUGUAUUUGGUUGUUUAAAUUGGGUUACAUUAUUUUGUUCGGAAACUUGGUAGAUAAUGUGGUACUACAUCAUCUGGAUUUCUUUUAGUAAAACACAGAUUGGAUAUUUAAACACAAAGAAUGCCUACAACACCCUGUUAUAUCAUAUCUUCCUGACCAAGAAUGUACUUCUUUAGAUAUGAUAACUAGUGAAUACAGUCAGCCUUUACCACAAUGAAAUUAAACAGAAGCCCAAAGGAGUGAUAAAGCAGAUCAAUCAGAAAAGAUAAAACUAUGAAGUUAACAUUUCAAAUUAUUGGGUUUUUUUUGGUAUAAUUUUCAUUUUGCCUUUUUUUCUCUUUCUGGUAUUUGGGUGUAUAUUGUAUUACUUUCUAAGUGGUUCUUCUGGCUAUUCUGUGUUCAUCUUCUGCAAAGCAUUAGUGAUAGCAUGUAGAAAAUAAACUGUGGUCUUCAAAACAAUGUUAAUCUAAGCAUAAUUUUUGCCUUAAAAGGGUUAGUCUCCUUUACAUACCCGUAACGAUUGCCACACUUUGCUAGGCCCAAGACUUUUAAUAUUUUUGCUGAUAUUUAAUUACUAUAGAAUAGGACAGGUCAAACUGGCCACAAAUAUGGAAGAUGUGUUUGGAUGACUCUAGAACUGCUGACCAACCUAAACUGAGAAUCAAAACCAGAAUUAGAAUUUCUUCCUUGUCUAGAAAUUUUUCAUUCCCUCUCUAUUCUUCAGUAUUCCUUCUGAGAAUAGUCUUUAAUAUUCUUCAUUCUAUUUGUUAUUCCAAUUCUUUAUUACUAUAUUUUUUGAAACCUAAAGCACUUUGACUACUAGUUUAAUUUUUCUGAAUUGUCUAUAGUCUUUAACUUUAUUCUAUUAUACAUGGUCAUACAACUGAUAUAAAGUAAAGGUUAAACCCUAAGUCCAAAAUAGGUUUAAAGAGAGUAUGGGAAGAAAUAAGCUAUACUACUACUUCAUUGUCAUGAUGGUCUAUUGAACCAUUCUGAUUAUCUUCUCUUACUGUGACAGGAUAACCUGUUCAAAUAAGUUUAUAUCUUUCAAUUUUAGUUAGCUGGACCAAAAAAUUUUUACCAGGUCAAUAAGGAAAACUUCUAAGUGUUAUCUUCUCAAUUUUAGUUGAAAAUGUGAUGUAACUUAAUUUUAUCAUUAAUAACAAAAAUCAGCAUUUACACUUAUAAUUUGAUAUGUUAGGCUGAAAAUAUAAAUUCUCCAUUAAAAUAUUUUUUGUCUUACAAUUUGGACAAGUUAAAUAAAAUACCCCAUAUAAUGUUAUUUUAAAGGUUUUUAAAAUUAAUAUUAAUUUUUUUAUAGUGUGGCUGUCUUUAAAAUAUUGAUGGAGUUCCCAUUGUGGCUCAGUGGGUUAGGGACCUGAAAGUUGUCUCUGUGAUGAUAUAGGUUCGAUCCUUGGCCUAGAUCAGUGGGUUAAGGAUCCAACAUUGCCUCACACUGUGGUAUAGGUCGUGCAGAUGAGGCUUGGAUCCACUGUUGUUGUGGCUGAGGUGUAGGCCUACAGCUUCAGCUCCAAUUCAACCCCUGGCCCAGGAACUUCCAUAUGCCACAGAUAUG
RNAcentral lists this long non-coding RNA (3728 nucleotides) under Sus scrofa (pig). Its description in RNAcentral is "lncRNA (ENSSSCG00000063027.1)". The record is from RNAcentral. Lineage: Eukaryota; Metazoa; Chordata; Mammalia; Artiodactyla; Suidae.